AGCAUAUGUAAAAGCACUUUCACAUUUGUCGCUGCGCUUAUGCGCAUUAGCAAUUGCUUUUUGCCCUUUUGACUACACUGAGGAUGGGAGAAUCAUAUUUGUUGAAUGGGUCAAACUUUCUCUGCUCUAAUGUAAACUUUCUAAUCUCUCUACUUAAACUUUGUACUUUUCUAUAAUAAAGUUUGGCGAACAAAUUGAAUUGCCACUGGGUUGAUUGGGUUGCCUGGAUUAGAAAGUUCGAUGCUU
RNAcentral lists this unclassified non-coding RNA (246 nucleotides) under Hevea brasiliensis (rubber tree). Lineage: Eukaryota; Viridiplantae; Streptophyta; Magnoliopsida; Malpighiales; Euphorbiaceae. The record is from RNAcentral.